Molecule: ribosomal RNA, 718 nt
Filed under: uncultured archaeon
Lineage: Archaea
Description: bacterial SSU rRNA
Rfam family: Archaeal small subunit ribosomal RNA
Source: RNAcentral
UGUGCCAGCAGCCGCGGUAAAACCAGCACCUCAAGUGGUCAGGAUGAUUAUUGGGCCUAAAGCAUCCGUAGCUCGUUUUGUAAGUUUUCGGUUAAAUCCAUGCGCUCAACGUAUGGGCUGCCGGGAGUACUGCAUAACUAGGAAGUGGGAGAGGUAGACGGUACUCGGUAGGAAGGGGUAAAAUCCUUUGAUCUAUUGACGACCACCUGUGGCGAAGGCGGUCUACCAGAACACGUUCGACGGUGAGGGAUGAAAGCUGGGGGAGCAAACCGGAUUAGAUACCCGGGUAGUCCCAGCUGUAAACGAUGCAAACUCAGUGACGCAUUGGCUUGUGGCCAAUGCAGUGCUGCAGGGAAGCCGUUAAGUUUGCCGCCUGGGAAGUACGUACGCAAGUAUGAAACUUAAAGGAAUUGGCGGGGGAGCACCACAAGGGGUGAAGCCUGCGGUUCAAUUGGAGUCAACGCCAGAAAUCUUACCCGGAGAGACAGCAGAAUGAAGGUCAAGCUGAAGACUUUACCAGACAAGCUGAGAGGUGGUGCAUGGCCGUCGCCGGCUCGUGCCGUGAGAUGUCCUGUUAAGUCAGGUAACGAGCGAGAUCCCUGCCCCUAGUUGCCACCAUUACUCUCAGGAGUAGUGGGGCGAAUUAGCGGGACCGCCGCAGUUAAUGCGGAGGAAGGAAGGGGCCACGGCAGGUCAGUAUGCCCCGAAACUCUGGGGC